CAGUCGCCACGGUAAUACGUGGGGUGCAAGCGUUAAUCGGAAUUACUGGGCGUAAAGCGUGCGCAGGCGGUUCGCUAAGACAGAUGUGAAAUCCCCGGGCUUAACCUGGGAACUGCAUUUGUGACUGGCGGGCUAGAGUAUGGCAGAGGGGGGUAGAAUUCCACGUGUAGCAGUGAAAUGCGUAGAGAUGUGGAGGAAUACCGAUGGCGAAGGCAGCCCCCUGGGCCAAUACUGACGCUCAUGCACGAAAGCGUGGGGAGCAAACAGGAUUAGAUACCCCCGUAGUCCCUGUCUCUUAUAA
Molecule: ribosomal RNA, 301 nt
Filed under: uncultured bacterium
Lineage: Bacteria
Description: partial 16S ribosomal RNA
Rfam family: Bacterial small subunit ribosomal RNA
Source: RNAcentral